GGUUAUGGCUCAGUGGUAGAGUGCUCGCCUUUCAUGUGCAAGGUCCUGGGUUCAAUUCUCAGCACCA
Molecule: transfer RNA, 67 nt
Filed under: Marmota monax (woodchuck)
Lineage: Eukaryota; Metazoa; Chordata; Mammalia; Rodentia; Sciuridae
Description: tRNA.Glu
Source: RNAcentral